Molecule: long non-coding RNA, 1472 nt
Filed under: Oryctolagus cuniculus (rabbit)
Lineage: Eukaryota; Metazoa; Chordata; Mammalia; Lagomorpha; Leporidae
Description: lncRNA (ENSOCUG00000038585.1)
Source: RNAcentral
UAAACAAUAUUUUACAGCUUCCAAUGCUUCUUUGAUGGGCUGGUUGGAUUGUCACGUGUGCUGUGUGGCGCUGGGGGACACAGGGUGGUUGUAUUGUCACCUGUGCUGUGUGGCACUGGGGGACACAGGGUGGUUGAUUGUCACCUGUGCUGUGUGGCGCUGGGGGACACAGGGUGGUUGUCACCUGUGCUGUGUGGCGAUGGGGGACACAGGGUGGUUGAUUGUCACCUGUGCUGUGUGGCGCUGGGGGACACAGGUGGGGGUUGGAUUGUCACCUGUGCUGUGUGGCACUGGGGGACACAGGGUGGUUGUAUUGUCACCUGUGCUGUGUGGCACUGGGGGACACAGGGUGGUUGAUUGUCACCUGUGCUGUGUGGCGCUGGGGGACACAGGGUGGUUGUCACCUGUGCUGUGUGGCGCUGGGGGACACAGGGUGGUUGAUUGUCACCUGUGCUGUGUGGCGCUGGGGGACACAGGUGGGGGUUGGAUUGUCACCUGUGCUGUGUGGCACUGGGGGACACAGGGUGGUUGAUUGUCACCUGUGCUGUGUGGCGCUGGGGGACUCCGGGUGGUUGAUUGUCACCUGUGCUGUGUGGCGCUGGGGGACACAGGUGGUUGUCACCUGUGCUGUGUGGCGCUGGGGGACACAGGUGGGGGUUUCUACGUUGUGUCUGUGUUUCGGCACUUUCUGUGACGGGCGUGCAGGAGAACAUUGCUGAAACGGGACACCUGUGUAAGUUCUGUGCUCUGCAAUCCCGGUGUUGCCCGUGACCUUCUGUCAGUCGACUCCCGACAGCUCCGCGCCGUGGCAGACUGGACUCACGCCUCCCUCCCCAGUGCCGGGGACGUGGCAGCAAGCGGAGCGUCCCACGUGGCGUUUGCUCAGCCUUCAGCAGCCGGCUGAAGAAGAUCCCGCUCGCCUGGCUUGUCUGUGCUCUGAGACACCCGGGACCAGGCUUCCCGUUCUACUGCCUGCUGUGAACAUUUAGCAGGCUGAGGGUUUGGGUUCUGUUUCUCUAUUUGCCUCCAUGAGUAACGCGAAAUCCUUGCAAAGGAGAGGGGGACGCUGACAACCCGAGAGGAACAGCAGCGAGAGCGUGGAAGGGACCCACAUCCCCAGACGCACCUGCCAACAAAGGGGAGGGCAUCGGGCUGCCCAGCCAGUGUGUCCGGGAGCGGGGCCUCUCCUGCCCACAAUGGCCUGGCCGUUAAAAUGCAAAUGGGGGCACGGGCUGCGAGUGCAUCCACCCCUGCAUCCCCGGGUCUAAAAGACACUCUUUCAGCCGCUUCUGUUCAGAUUGCAAAUGCUCUGCUUUUGUCCCGAGGCCUGGGAGGCAGUCCUGAAUACUUCCUCCCGACAAACUGGCUUUUCUCCGCCCCGGCCACAAAAGCCUGGAUGGGUUCUUAACGUGCAGAGCACAGAUUCUGUUCAGGGGGUUUCGCCAAGGUCAAGGUGACCAAGAACGGCUGGG